Molecule: long non-coding RNA, 371 nt
Organism: Gopherus evgoodei (Goodes thornscrub tortoise)
Lineage: Eukaryota; Metazoa; Chordata; Testudines; Testudinidae
Exons: 3
Source: RefSeq, a predicted model, not a curated record
UAGCAACUUACUCCACAAAAGGUCUUAUUGAUUCCAGUGGGAACCACUCAAGGAGUAAGGUACCAUUCAAGAUAAUUUCUUACAAGAGCUGUCUAUGAACCCGUUUUGGCAUACACAAAUGUGAAUCUCCUCUCCGGCAUUCAAGGAGAGAUAUGUUAAAUCCUGCGGUUCUGUACGAGCCAGAAGGGGUGGGGAAAGAGAAACCAAAAGUCAGCAGAGGAGUGGAUCCGUGAGUGAGGCAGGAAUAGAGAGGAACCUUCUGUUCUCUAUACCCCACUUCGACAUCUGAUCCUGCAUGAAAUGCAGAUUGCAUACAACUACUAAGGCUAAACAUAGUUAAGUGUUUCAUUAGCAUUGUAUAAGGUACUGUU